GGGCGAGUCUUAUACGACCAGCUCCCUCGGAAUCCCCCCAGGACAGGAAUGUAGCAAGGGUACUUGGUUGUAGCGGUGCGAUGUAAGUAGCUCGCCCAC
This 99-nucleotide signal recognition particle RNA is filed under the name Prevotella sp. RNAcentral's name for it is "signal recognition particle sRNA small type". It matches the Rfam family "Bacteroidales small SRP". From Rfam's summary of the family: The non-coding component of the signal recognition particle in Bacteroides The record is from RNAcentral. Lineage: Bacteria; Pseudomonadati; Bacteroidota; Bacteroidia; Bacteroidales; Prevotellaceae.